Molecule: ribosomal RNA, 468 nt
Filed under: uncultured bacterium
Lineage: Bacteria
Description: partial 16S ribosomal RNA
Rfam family: Bacterial small subunit ribosomal RNA
Source: RNAcentral
GACGAACGCUGGCGGCGUGCUUAACACAUGCAAGUCGAACGGAAAGGCCCUGCUUUUGUGGGGUGCUCGAGUGGCGAACGGGUGAGUAACACGUGAGUAACCUGCCCUUGACUUUGGGAUAACUUCAGGAAACUGGGGCUAAUACCGGAUAGGAGCUCCUGCUGCAUGGUGGGGGUUGGAAAGUUUCGGCGGUUGGGGAUGGACUCGCGGCUUAUCAGCUUGUUGGUGGGGUAGUGGCUUACCAAGGCUUUGACGGGUAGCCGGCCUGAGAGGGUGACCGGCGACAUUGGGACUGAGAUACGGCGCAGACUCCUACGGGAGGCAGCAGUGGGGAAUAUUGCCCAAUGGGCGGAAGCCUGAUGCAGCAACGCCGCGUGCGGGAUGACGGCCUUCGGGUUGUAAACCGCUUUCGCCUGUGACGAAGCGUGAGUGACGGUAAUGGGUAAAGAAGCACCGGCUAACUACGUG